CCGGAGCUUCAAAGGUGCCAAAGGAGGUAAAUGUGUGAAGCAGCCCAAACACAAACCUAUCAAAUGCUUCUGCGACUACUGCAAAGACGACUAGACUUCACAAAAAACGCCUUAAAUAGAACCACUGGUUCUAGCUUCACUCUCCAAACGCAACCACCCCUUCUCGACCUAAAUGUUUGUAAUUUCCAUAUAAAUUUUAUAAAAUGUAUCUUUGAUGUUUGUUUGUCCCAGCAUUUUCAUGUAUUCUCGGCAUCAUAAAUCAUAACAAUAUUUCCCCAGUUGCUAAAAAUAAAGGAACGUCUGUAAACAAUGUUGUCAUAAUUUUCAUGUCUUAUCAAAGAACAUGAUGAAAAGAUAAGUGACAAUCAGUAGUACGAAGGAUCAUUAUGACAAGCUAGUGUCGGAGGAGCUUAAACACAAGGCCCACAAUGUAGAAAAUACAGGAUACUUUUCAUUUUUAUAUUAAAGUAAACAACACACAUCUAAUAAAAAUAAAUAAUGGAUGGAUUUUUCAUAUGAAAUCAAACUAUUAAAAAAAUUAUUAACAAAUUUAUUAGUUUAUUUAAAUCCAAACUAAUACAUAAUUUUAUUUUAUAAAAUUUAUAUUCUAAUUAUCCAACAUAAACACAAACCUACGUAUAACUUUGUUAAUUAUGAACUUUAGAUCCUAAUUUUUUUUUAAUUUAAAACUAUAUAUAUAUAUAUAUAUAUAUAUAUCUUCGUUUCAUUAUACUUUACUCUUUAUUUAUAAAUUUAAACUGACAUAUAAUCUCCUUAAACUGUUAUAAUGGAGUUUCAUAAGAUCAGAAACGAAGUUAUAAAGAUUGAGUCUUUUAAUUUUAGGAAAAAUAAAUAAUGGAGCUUUCAGAAGACCGUAUGAAAACGUCUUCCUAGACAUAUCUAGAACGCACCAUUAUUAUUAUUAUUUUCCUUUUUGGUUUAAUAUACAUAUAAAUAUAUACAAAAAAUUUCUUAUAAAAUAAUGAAUCCCAACAAAUCAUUAUAAAACAGUAAUGGCCGUACAACCCUUAUCCAGAUUGUAGCAAUACAGGAUGCUUUUAAAUAACACGUACGUGUAUUGUUGAUAUAUGAUGCCAUGUCACGUGUGUGUGUGUGUGUGUGCGCGCCUUUACAAUUCCAAGAUGUGGUCCUGUGGACCGAGCACAAUAAAAAAGGUCAAUUUUACUCUUGCAACGUCCUUGAACGAUGCACAAUAGCUAAACACACGGUUAAAGUAGUACAAUUUAUGAAAACAUAAUCUGUCGAUUAAUAAAAAGAGUAAGAGAAUGCAAAUCUAAGUGGAACUUAAAAAAUAAAAAUUAAGAGAGAAUAAUGUCCAAUUAGAAGUUCGUUUUUGAAUUCCAAGCAAUGCAACGAUGAAGUUUCAGUCACCCAGCAUUACCAUCUUCCAUGGAAGAUAGUUGAAACCGUUUCUCCCCUCCGAGAUAUCUGAACAAAAUUAUGAAGACACAAGAUCAGAAUUCUAGAAAAUAAGCCUUACAUUACAUGAGUAAAGCAGAAGAAUCUUGAGGAGAGAAAUCUGAAAGUUUUUGUGAACUCAUGAGGGUGACGCAACGAUGAAGAACAUAUCUCUAAACAGAUUUAUAUAAGGAUCAUGAAUUUUUUUUGAAGAUGUAUCGUUUCCCAAAAGGACUUGUAGGAGGACACGAUGUCACACUGUUCUUUUUUCUUUCCGUCGACUCUUCAGUUUUGAUUUAGUUAUUUUGCUUAAUUCAGUAAUUUAUUUAAU
RNAcentral lists this long non-coding RNA (1750 nucleotides) under Capsella grandiflora. RNAcentral's name for it is "long non-coding RNA (CGRA_LNC001135)". The record is from RNAcentral. Lineage: Eukaryota; Viridiplantae; Streptophyta; Magnoliopsida; Brassicales; Brassicaceae.